AUACUGAAAUGCAUGGUGGGAAAUCAGUGUGAAAUUCAUUGGCUGUACCUGCAACCGUAGAGUCGGAGCGCCACCCAGUAU
This 81-nucleotide non-coding RNA is filed under the name unclassified sequences. The record is from Rfam.